CCGCAUGAGUUGCGUCCUGCUGUAAAUAUGGACAAAUAAUAAGGUUGAUGGAAUUUAGGUGAGCAUCAUGUGAGUCGUAGAUGCUCAUAAAGGACCAUCGCAUAUAC
Non-coding RNA from Triticum aestivum (bread wheat), 107 nucleotides. Lineage: Eukaryota; Viridiplantae; Streptophyta; Magnoliopsida; Poales; Poaceae. The record is from Rfam.